UGGUAAGUAGUUUAAACAAAACAAAUGAUUUCGACUCAUUAGAUUAUGAUAACCAUACUAACCAA
This 65-nucleotide transfer RNA is filed under the name Macaca arctoides (stump-tailed macaque). RNAcentral describes it as "tRNA-Arg". It matches the Rfam family "tRNA". Rfam says of the family: Transfer RNA (tRNA) molecules are approximately 80 nucleotides in length. RNAcentral also lists the same sequence under 9 other names. The record is from RNAcentral. Lineage: Eukaryota; Metazoa; Chordata; Mammalia; Primates; Cercopithecidae.